GCUGUGGAAACCUCCUUGAUUGGUGGUAGAAGCGCUUCCGCAUUCAACACAUGCAUAUGCCCCUGUCCGUGGAGGUUACUGUGAACAAAACAGCGUGUCCAAAGCAACCACAUGUCUGGCUGAAUGAUCUAGCAUGGAAUAACAAGGCAUCGACCACUGGAGCCAGCCUUUUUGUUGGUUUUACAUGACCCAGUUGGGCAAUGCAGGGCUUGUGCUUCAUUGAGGUUCUUAGUCAGCUCUACCGAACUGUCUUCCCUCAGUUGGACCUUGUUCCCUAUCGGGAUCAAUGGAAGCCAUCGGGGUGGUAUGUAUUCCGACGUGAGCGGUGAAAAUGCUUAGACCGUUGGAAGACAAACGACAGCGAAGGCAUUCCGCCAGAAUGUUUUCAUUAAUCAAGAACGAGAGUGUGGGGAUCGAAGAUGAUCAGAUACCAUCGUAGUCCAUUACCGUAAACUAUGCCAACUCGGCAUUGGGAGUCUGUUCACUUUGAAGACUCUCCCAGCAUCAUCCCCCAAUAACGAGAAGUCCAAGUCUAUGGGUUCAGGGGGGAGUACAGUCGCAAGGCUGAAACUUAAAGGAAUUGACGGAAUGACACCACAAGGCGUGGAGUAUGCGGCUUAAUUUGACUCAACACGGGGAAGCUUACCAGGUCAGACACAGUAAGGAUUGACAGAUUGAGAGCUCUUUCUUGAUCCUAUGGAUGGUGGUGCAUGGCCGUUUCUGGUUCGUGGAGUGAUCUGUCUGCUUAAUUGCGAUAACGAACGAGAUCUCUACCUCUAAAUAGGCGCCGGUCUCGCAUGUAAGUAGGGAUGUGUUGGGGGCCUUCGUGUCCCCUCAUGUCCUGAGAGUGCCGGGAUCGCUUCUUAGACGGACUGUGCAUGUCUUUAAUGCACGGAAGAGGGAGUCAAUAGCAGGUCUGUGAUGCUCCUAGAUGUUCUGGGCUGCACGCGCACUACACUGGCACAGUAAACGAGUUGCACCUGCUUCGGCAGUCCUGCUUAGAAGUGAGCGUGGGAAAUCUUAGAAAACUGUGCCGUGCUGGGGAUAGAUGAUUGCGAUUAUUUGUCUUGAACGAGGAAUGCCUAGUAGAGGUACUUCAUCAGAGUACCUUGAUUGUGUCCCUGCCAUUUGUACACACCGCCCGUCGUUGCUACCGAUUGGCUGUAAAAUAGAGGCCUUAAGAGUCGCUUCCGCAAAGCUUUGCUUUUGAGGUUGUGACAAAUCUGGCCAAUAUUUCAUUGCUAGAGAAAGCAAAAGUCGUAACAAGG
This 1268-nucleotide ribosomal RNA is filed under the name metagenome. Its description in RNAcentral is "bacterial SSU rRNA". It matches the Rfam family "Eukaryotic small subunit ribosomal RNA", at positions 677 to 1799 of the family's 1831-position model. The record is from RNAcentral.